This 497-nucleotide ribosomal RNA is filed under the name uncultured bacterium. Its description in RNAcentral is "partial 16S ribosomal RNA". It matches the Rfam family "Bacterial small subunit ribosomal RNA", at positions 28 to 507 of the family's 1533-position model. The record is from RNAcentral.
GAUGAACGCUGGCGGCGUGCCUAAUACAUGCAAGUCGAGCGAACAGAUAAGGAGCUUGCUCCUUUGACGUUAGCGGCGGACGGGUGAGUAACACGUGGGUAACCUACCUAUAAGACUGGAAUAACUCCGGGAAACCGGGGCUAAUGCCGGAUAACAUUUAGAACCGCAUGGUUCUAAAGUGAAAGAUGGUUUGGCUAUCACUUAUAGAUGGACCCGCGCCGUAUUAGCUAGUUGGUAAGGUGACGGCUUACCAAGGCAACGAUACGUAGCCGACCUGAGAGGGUGAUCGGCCACACUGGAACUGAGACACGGUCCAGACUCCUACGGGAGGCAGCAGUAGGGAAUCUUCCGCAAUGGGCGAAAGCCUGACGGAGCAACGCCGCGUGAGUGAUGAAGGUCUUCGGAUCGUAAAACUCUGUUAUUAGGGAAGAACAAAUGUGUAAGUAACUGUGCACGUCUUGACGGUACCUAAUCAGAAAGCCACGGCUAACUACGUG